UACAAACAAUAAAAGUCUCAGAUAUUUGACCUCAGAUGAACUGAUGAGAAAUUCAGGAUCAGUGGACAGACAGUGGACAGAAUUCUGAGUGAAUUAUCACAGGAUCCAAACACACACUCAACCUCUUCUGAUGAGCUCUGUGUUGAGAGUAGAGUUAAAGUUUAAUCCUGAAAUGUCUCAGGUACACUCGAUUCUGAACACUUUUCUUGUGUGAUGUCAGCUGGAGUGAGGAGCAGAGAAGUCACUAAGUUAAACUCCUGAAAGUGCUCUGAGAAGAACUGUGAAGAACACAAAUGUGGAUUCUGAGUGGAGUGACUGAGAAUGGAAUGGUUUCAGUGAUACAGCAUUAAAACCCUGAGAAAUGAUGAAUCAGUAAUGUCUACUGAAGAGGAACCCGGGAACCUCAAAGGUGUGAAGUGCUCAUGAGCUGCUGUUAGUGACUCUGAACAUCAGCAAUGUUCCUCACAUCAACACUGACAUGGAAGAGGAAAAGAACCAGAGAACCACU
This is a long non-coding RNA of Hemibagrus wyckioides, 508 nucleotides long. RefSeq lists it as uncharacterized. The transcript has 3 exons. The record is from RefSeq and is a predicted model, not a curated record. NCBI's taxonomy places the organism in Eukaryota, Metazoa, Chordata, Actinopteri, Siluriformes, Bagridae.